This 351-nucleotide ribosomal RNA is filed under the name uncultured bacterium. Its description in RNAcentral is "bacterial SSU rRNA". It matches the Rfam family "Bacterial small subunit ribosomal RNA", at positions 8 to 350 of the family's 1533-position model. The record is from RNAcentral.
AGAGUUUGAUCAUGGCUCAGGAUGAACGCUAGCUACAGGCUUAACACAUGCAAGUCGAGGGGAAACGACAUCGAAAGCUUGCUUUUGAUGGGCGUCGACCGGCGCACGGGUGAGUAACGCGUAUCCAACCUGCCCACCACUUGGGGAUAACCUUGCGAAAGUAAGACUAAUACCCAAUGAUAUCUCUAGAAGACAUCUGAAAGAGAUUAAAGAUUUAUCGGUGAUGGAUGGGGAUGCGUCUGAUUAGCUUGUUGGCGGGGUAACGGCCACAGGCUACGAUCAGUAGGGGUUCUGAGAGGAAGGUCCCCCANAUUGGAACUGAGACACGGUCCAAACUCCUAACGGGAAGCA